Molecule: long non-coding RNA, 1074 nt
Filed under: Physcomitrium patens
Lineage: Eukaryota; Viridiplantae; Streptophyta; Bryopsida; Funariales; Funariaceae
Description: long non-coding RNA (PPAT_LNC013373)
Source: RNAcentral
UGGAACAUCAUCCGUCCUUGUGCUAUCUACUUCACUACCAUGCGUAGUGCCCUAUAGAUCAAGGUUGACAAUUUAAGGUCUUCUGUGAACCAGUCAAUAGAAUGGCUGAAGUAAAGCAUUACAGCGUGCUCAUGCAUGGAAGUGAAUUGCUACCACUAAGGCAUUAUCCCAAAUGGAUAGAUUCUUGUUUCCAUGAAGCAUUGCACAUCUUCCUUGGCUUGAGCAAUUGAGAAUAUCUUUCCAAAAUUGCGUGGUUUAUGGUUCCAUGGGAAAGGGAUGUCUAGAUCUUCAGGUAGAGCUAGCCAAGAUCCUAUGCUUGCCUUAAUCAACCGGCAGCUUGUUGCCUGUCUUGGUAAUUGCGAAGGAUUUUGCUGCAUGUAGAGAUUCAUAACAUGUUCCAUCUGUUUUCCCGUUCAGAUUCAAACUUGAAUCUACAACUUGGGCAUUUAGAUCGACUUAUUUUACUCUAACCGCCGGUUUCCUCAUCCUGUCCCUUGAAGUAUUCCAGAACGCUAGCAACGAUUCCAUGAUCAACACCUCAAAAUGCCACUGACAGCCCACCGACCAAAUAACCCAACACAAGCAACUCAGCUGUGAGCUGAAUAACAACGAAUUGAUAGAAGAAGGAAUUCAAUCAUAGAAAGUAACAUCUCGGUGCAAUUCUGAGAACCCAUUCCAGUCGAAUCCACUUCGCUCAGCAACGACACCAACCGAUCGACCAAAAGAGAUCUAGUGAAUAGCAAAGACUUGCAGAACCUACAGAUAUGGCUGGUCGGAGAUGCUGCACGCUUCAACUGAGGAUUGUGAACGAAAACACAACUACAACUUCACCAUACAAGACCCCGAAACGCGGGUUUUACUAUUCAUGUCGCCCUUCACAGACAUGCCAUUACAGUGGUUACGCGCAGAAACUAACCUCCAUCGUCAUCACUCGCUUGAGAAAACACACACUGAAGUCCUUCAAAGUUUCGAGUUAAGAAAUCGUAAACUGUGAGGAGAAGCGAUGCGUCUCGAAUACAUCUAUGCGUGAACAUUCCCAUACUUUGAGACUCAGUUUAUAAUCGUACACAUUCG